Parasteatoda tepidariorum (common house spider) is the source of this 402-nucleotide non-coding RNA. Lineage: Eukaryota; Metazoa; Arthropoda; Arachnida; Araneae; Theridiidae. The record is from RefSeq and is a predicted model, not a curated record.
UACAGAUCUUUUAGUUUAUCAAAUUAGGAAAUAAAUGAAAUCUGUUUAACACAAAAAUUUGACUCUUAAGUUAAACUGAAGUGAAAUAAAAUAUGUUGAUGUAAAACAUCAAUCAUGUACAACAUUGUAUGGCAUAAGUAAUUGUCUUAAUUUUUCAAACAGGUGUAACCAAAUAAAAGUCUAUUGCUUAGAAACUUACUAGAUACCUUCCCAAAUCAGCAACUUGGAAAGGAGUUCAGAUUCCUUUUUACCUCUUUAUUAUUGCUACUUAAUGUCUCCUUAACUGCUUAGGGUACCAUAAGGAUCUUCAAAGAAUGGAUCUUCAUGGAAGUUCUGACCAAAAUUUUACAGCAAGGAACUGAAUUUGACAUGCUUGCAGAAACUGUGUUAGCAGAUAGAUAU